CCUACGGGAGGCAGCAGUGAGGAAUAUUGGUCAAUGGGCGUAAGCCUGAACCAGCCAAGUCGCGUGAGGGAUGAAGGUUCUAUGGAUCGUAAACCUCUUUUAUAAGGGAAUAAAGUGUGGGACGUGUCCUGUUUUGUAUGUACCUUAUGAAUCAGGAUCGGCUAACUACGUGCCAGCAGCCGCGGUAAUACGGAGGAUCCGAGCGUUAUCCGGAGUUAUUGGGUUUAAAGAGUGCGUAGGCGGCCUUGUAAGUCAGCGGUGAAAGUCUGUGGCUCAACCAUAGAAUUGCCGUUGAAACUGGGAGGCUUGAGUAUGUUUGAGGCAGGCGGAAUGCGUGGUGUAGCGGUGAAAUGCUUAGAUAUCACGCAGAACCCCGAUUGCGAAGGCAGCCUGCCAAGCCAUGACUGACGCUGAUGCACGAAAGCGUGGGGAUCAAACAGGAUUAGAUACCCUUGUAGUC
This 460-nucleotide ribosomal RNA is filed under the name uncultured bacterium. RNAcentral describes it as "partial 16S ribosomal RNA". It matches the Rfam family "Bacterial small subunit ribosomal RNA", at positions 338 to 795 of the family's 1533-position model. The record is from RNAcentral.